RNAcentral lists this ribosomal RNA (407 nucleotides) under uncultured bacterium. RNAcentral describes it as "bacterial SSU rRNA". It matches the Rfam family "Bacterial small subunit ribosomal RNA", at positions 355 to 776 of the family's 1533-position model. The record is from RNAcentral.
CAGGGAAUCUUGCGCAAUGGGCUAAUAGGCCUGACGCAGCGACACCGCGUGGGGGAUGAAGGCCUUAGGGUCGUAAACCCCUUUUCUCGGGGAAGAGAGAGGACGGUACCCGAGGAAUAAGCUUCGGCUAACUACGUGCCAGCAGCCGCGGUAAUACGUAGGAAGCGAGCGUUAUCCGAAUUUACUGGGCGUAAAGGGCGAGUAGGCGGCUCAUCAAGUCUCAUGUGAAAUCUCCCGGCUCAACUGGGAGGGGUCAUGGGAAACUGGUGGGAUUGAGGGCAGUAGAGGAAAGUGGAAUUCCCGGAGUAGCGGUGAUAUGCGUAGAUACCGGGAGGAACACCAGAGGCGAAGGCGACUUUCUGGGCUGCACCUGACGCUGAGGCGCGAAAGCAUGGGGAGCGAACCGG